Molecule: long non-coding RNA, 1357 nt
Organism: Apis dorsata (giant honeybee)
Lineage: Eukaryota; Metazoa; Arthropoda; Insecta; Hymenoptera; Apidae
Exons: 2
Source: RefSeq, a predicted model, not a curated record
GAGACGAAAAAAAAAAAAGAAUAAAUCUCACAUUUUGCGUUCUAAAAAAUUUCAAUCAUAUUCGAAACAUCCUUUUUGUUGAUAUACGGAAUAAAAUGAACUGAAAAAUCAGAAUAUAUUAUUUUUGAAAAAAUAUAAUUCUUAGAAAUAUUAAUUUUCUCGUACGUUCUCGACGAAAAUUUUCACGGAAAAAUUCAGGAUUGAAUUCGGUUAUUAUCGUUAUGAAAGAAAAUAAUUUUGAUUAAUAAAAUUAAAAUGCAAAUUGUCAAAUUUGAUGGAAGUAAAAUCUCUCAUGAAUUUGUGAAUCUUUCCGUUUUAAUACAGUGAUUCAUUAAUAUUUUGAAUAUUCAUAUCAAAUCCAAACGUACUCAAAUUAUUCUCAAAUUAUAUUAUUUUUUAAAAUUACUUUUUCAAAGUAAUUUUAUUUAUUCAAAUUUUUAUUCAAAAUUAUUUGAAUAAUACAAAUAUUUCACGCAAAGUGUUUUAUGUGAAAGAUAAAUUUCGUCCAAAUCUAAUUUAUAUUCAGGAGGAUAGAUCGAUAAUUUACAUAAUUGUAUACCUUCGUGCAUGAAUGUAAUAUGGUUUCCACUAUGAUUUUGAUUAUACCAGUUGCUACAUUCUGAACAUGACACGCGAUACGUAUAUAUGACAAGUGGGUGUAAAAUAGAUUUAACAUUUGAUUACGUACUUUCAAAUGAUUAAUCGUUCAGGUGUCACGAAUGAUCAACAAAUUCGAUUCUCUUUGAUCCACCGAUUAGAAUUUUUUCUCGUUGUUUUCGAGAUCGUGUAAUAGGAGAUCGUUUAUGGUAUGACAAUUGUUUGAUCGAACAAUUUUCAGACUAGAAUAUAGAACAUGUAGACCGAUAAGAAAUUUUUAGCGACACAAAGAUAUUUACGAUAUUUUCUCUUAGCCGAGAUAUUUUCAUUAUAUCUCGUAUUCUUUAAAGAUAGAGAUUUCAAAGAGAAAAUUCCCGAUAAAUCUCGAUAUUAACUCGGCCAACGAGGAUGUUUAAAGAUUAAAAACAAUAGAAAAUUCAUUUUAUGAAAAGAAACAUAUCCAAGUGACUCCUAUUUUAUUAUUUGUUUCACAUGUAGUAUAGAAUCUAACAAAAAUAUAUAAUAUACCAUAUAUAUAUUCAAUUUUAAUGGAUUAUUUGGAUUAUAUUUGCUGUACUCGAUAUUCACCUGUUAUAUCACGAAAUUGGAAAAGGGAUACAAUGAAAAAAGUAAAACGAUUAAUACAGAAACGUUUAUUUAUAAUCUAUAAAUAAUUUCUCGUUUACAAACGAGGAAAGGAUAGAUUUUCAGCCGGGCUCAAUAGCUAAAAAUCCAUCGGUCCUCUUUUUCUCAUACAAAA